Molecule: long non-coding RNA, 4926 nt
Filed under: Citrus maxima (pomelo)
Lineage: Eukaryota; Viridiplantae; Streptophyta; Magnoliopsida; Sapindales; Rutaceae
Description: long non-coding RNA (CMAX_LNC003609)
Source: RNAcentral
GAUGAAGCUGUGAAAUUGGCCAUUUGAAAUUGAGAGGGUGAGAGAACGUGAAGAGACUUUGAGUGAAGACGACGAGUGAGUCUGUGAAGGAAUGAAUGAAUGGAGGGGAAUUGGAGGGGAAUGUGAACAAGGAAAGGAACCCUAGAAAAGUGUAGAGAGAGAGAGAGAGAGAGAGAGAGAGAGAGAGAGAGAGCGAGUGGUCAAAGAGAAGAAAAGAAUUAUGGAGAGAAAAGUAAAAGGAAGAAUAUGAAAAGAGCGCAGGAAAAUCAUCCGAAUCAGACGCUUUUGUUUUGAAUGGAAUCAAUCUUCCUCCCCCAACCCCACUCCUCACUCUCCCCCUUUGCUUUUCCUUUUCAAUUUCUUCUUUUAUUUUCUUUUUCUUUUUCUUUUUCUUUCAUUUUUUUAUUUAUUUAUUUUCACAAAUUAUGUGGCUCGCAAUCUAUCGUGAAGUGCCAUGUAAUAUUAAAAUUGUUUUCCUGAUUAUUUGACAUAUUUUUUAUUAUUUUUUUAUUUAUUUAUUUAUUUUAAUUUCCUCUUAUUUAAAUUCUUUCCGUAAUUAACAGAUUUUGUUACCUUUGUUUUCUAAUCAAGUGAGCAGGUUAAUUAUUGCGCUAAAUAUUUUAUAAAUGGCAUCAUCUAUAUUUUCAAAAAAUAAUAAUAUUAGUGAUCUUAAUAGUUAAGUCUCAACCUGAAUACUAACUAUUAUAACUUUUAAUCAUUUAUUAUGUAAUAGAUAAAUAACAUAUAAUAAUUGAGAAUAACAGUUAAGAUUAUAAUCAUUAAUAUUACUUACAAUCUACCCUUAAUUUUAUACAUAUCAUGAAACUUGUUAAUAAUAAUAAUUAUUAUUAUUAGGUUAUGACAUUGGUGGCAUUAUAUAUUUCUUUGUUGUGGGAAAUUGUAUUAAAAGCAAUAAUAAAAGUGUCUUAUAGCUUUUCACGCUAGGUCAGACCAACAAUUACUUUAAAGUCAUUAACGAACUCAAAUUCUAGAAUCCAAUAAUUAAUUAAUCAACUAUCUUCCACAUCAAACCGAGAACGCACUCUUGGUUUUGAAGGCUCAUCAUGCUUUAACUUGAUUCAAAAUACAAAAUCAUUUCAUUUUUCGGUUACGUCGAAAGUCAUCAACAAAUACAUAAAGUUCGAGAAAAUGAGAAGGCAUGAACUUUUGGCCAAAAAAGAAAGCAGAAAUUAGAGAAAGAUGACAGUUCAUUUGUGGCCCACCAAGGACCGUUUAAAAUAUAGAUUUUACUUAACGAGUUGUUUAAUAAUAAUAAUUUCUUUUUGAAAAUCAAUUCGUUUUAUAAUUACAACAGUGAUAUAAGUAUAAAAAAAAGUACAAAAAAUAAUACAUUAAUAUUACAAAAUAUUUUACUGGUAUAUUUUGUAUUAUUUUCAAUACAUAUAACAUUAAAUUUUUUUUAUUUUAUUAAUACAAUAGCUAUGCCUACUAGUCGAAGGAAACUGAAUUUUUUUUUUUAUUUCCCACAAAAUCUUAUAUUGGAAGUCAAACACGGUUAUUUUUUAAAAUCAAUUUGUUUAUUCUUUUAAACUUGACCGUCCAAAUUGUAUGCCACCAUGUAUAAGGAACCAGCAGACCGGCGACGCUGACGAUAGAAAUUAAAAAAGAUGCGAGAUUGAAAAAUUAAUCAAAAGUAAAAACAAAAAAAAGUCUUUGGAUCCUGUCUCGAUGACGAUAAGGAGCCUGCACGCAUUGACAACUUACACUAGCUGACGAUCCUGUCUCCGUCCUCUAAUAGUCUUUGAUCCCAUUCGCACGAUCCAAAAUUUCAAAUUCCGGAAUCCGGAGAAAUGGCUUUCGCUCUUUCUCUUGUACAGGUUUCGAGGUUGCCGGAGUCAAAUAUGGGCCGGGCCUUGACCUGUCAACUUAAUGUUUGGGCUAGUUUAUGCAAUUGAACCCAAGGCCCAAACGCAUUGCGAAUGCAGACCGCAACUUCCCCGUUUACAAUCAGAACCUCAAUCCAAACUUUAACAACUAUGAUCGGCACUUAUGCUGUGUUUACUUGUUGGAGUGGGAGUGAGGAGUGUGGAUUCUUCCCACUCCAGCGUUUACUUCCUCUAAAUGAGAAGGGAGUGGGAAUUUCAUUCCGUGGAUCCCACUCAUUUUUGGAGUGGAGAGUGGGAGUGGGACUCCCAUUAGGGGAGGUGGGAGUGGGAAUCCACUCCCACCUCUCCCUUUUUUACCCUUUUUAUUUUUUUAAUUUAAUAUUUUAUAAUUAAUAAAAUAAAAUAAAUAUUAUUAUAUUUAUUUGAAUAAUAAUAUUAUAUUUAACUAAAUAAUAAUUUACAUUGAUUCUAAAUUAAAAUUAUUUUAAAAUAAUAUUAUUAUAUUAAUAGAGAAUUAAUAAAUAUAAUAUUAUUAUAUUUAUUUUAAAAAUAAUAGUACUAUAUUUAUUUAAUAUUAAUAAUAAUAAAUAGUUUAUUUUAAGAAAAUAUUAAUUUUAUACUAAAUAAUAUUAUAUUAUUAUUUUAUAUAAUAAUAAAUUUAAUAUAAUUAUAUAAAAUAAAAUAAGGUUUCAUUUUGUAUUAAAAUUAAUAAUUUAUUAUUCAUAAUUAAGAAUAUUAAUAAUUAUAAUAAAUUUACAAAUAUAAUAAAAUAAAUAUUAUUCAUUAAAUAUAUUUUUUAUUAGUUUUGUAAUUAAAAAUUAUAAUUCUUUAAAUAAGGAUAAAAUUAUAAUUUGAAAUAAUUUACUCCCAAUCCAAAACAAAGUAAACACAUAAAUUAGAUUCUGAUCUCUAUUUCAUGCUUCCAUUCUAAUAUAAGUAAAUAACCUACUCCCACUCCCACUCCACACUCCCAAUCCUAGAAUUCCCACUCCUGUGAGAGAGAAGAAAAAGAACAUAGCAAAAAUGGCUGCCACUGCCAUUUCAGCUACUCAUCCGAUUCUUGUUACAAGAGUUAAUUACAAAUUAUCUUCUCCAAAUUCAAUCGACUUUACAAACCGAGCUUUCUUACCUGUAUCAAUUUCUUGGAAACCUUUACGAGCGGUUCUCAGCUCUUCGGCAGUCUCCACUGAAGAACUCGCUGCCGGAGCCGGAAACAACUCCUUGACUCUGCGUGAAUUAUGCCAAGGUCAUGUGCCCGAGCACGUGCUUCGCAGGUGAGUCUCCGAAACGACCCACUCGUUUUAAUUAAUCAAGAUCUUAUUCCUAAACUUAGCAGUCAAGCUAGUUAGCUAGUAUUUUUUUUUAAUUUAAAAAAAUAUCGAAACGUUCGCAGAAUGGAAGAGACUGGAUAUGUUUUACCGACGGAUAUACAGCGCGAAGCGCUGCCUGUUCUGUUCUCGAGCCGGGAUUGCAUACUUCAUGACAAAAAUUAGGUGAAUUCGCAUUUGUUGGCAGCAUUAAAGAAGCAGUUGCAGCAGAACUAGAAUCAACCACUUGGGAAGCAUCAAGUGCAGGGUAUCUCUGCAUCUCUCUUCUGCGAAAAUAGCGAGCAGCAGCUAGAUGCUGCAUAAUACGUGCUUCCAUAUCAUCGUAAUCAAAGUAAGUACCAUCCUGAAAUAUCCCAUCUCGCAUCUUAGAAGUAUAAUAAUAAACUCUAUCUCGCCAAACAAAUUUUUUUUCAAAAUAAAAAGUCGACAACUUAAUUUGAAACCAAACUAAAUAAUCACCGGCCCAUUAUCAAAAUCUUCAGGGAAAGUAACAGGAGCAGCAGGAGCUAUGGGCCUUGACUUGGAAAGCCUUUCACUCUCGAUGGCAGCUAGAAGCUCUUGGCUACAGUAUAGAAAGACGAACUAAAAUCAAAGGGAGACUAUGUUCCUUCAUCAUUCGACGCUGGACAAAUAAAGACAUCUGAAUGCGGUGAAGUAAAGCUAUUAAAAAGAACGUCAUGUACCAGGCUGGUUCUUUCAGGACAAAUUGCUGCCAACAUAUUGGACACUCUUUGCUUCUCUGUGACCUAAAUGAGAGACGGAUUCAACUAGAGUUAUUCAAUUUAUCAGGUUAUAGAGUAUCACAGUGGAAUACAACCAAAACAUAAUUACAAGAGCUUACCAUUCAAGAAUACACUGAAGAUGAUAUUCAUGCUUGCAGCUGGUAACCUGAAACAAGCAGAAUUGCAUUAAAGGUUAUUGCUUCUUAAAACCUUGAGUUCUAUUUGGAUUAACCAAUUACUUCAAAUCCUCAAGUAACAGUCUCAUGAUUGAAUGAACCAAAUAAUUCCAGAAAAAUGAAAACGCAAAUCAAACGACAGAGGUCAUAACAAUUCAUAUCAAUCCCACGGUAUGUUCGAGCGGGCAAAAAUAAAAAAUGAUUUCAAAGAAUCAGCGAAUGGAGACCAAAUAAAUAGUUUUUCAGAUAGAAAUGCUUAUCCAACAGUUAAGUACGGCGACGUUUUAACCGCAUGUUUUAAGAAAAGCGGUGAUGAGAGUGCAAACAUCGAAAGAAAGAAAAGCAAGAGAUUUUUUCAUACAGUGGCGGGGUCGUCAGUGGAGAAAGGCUCGAGGCAGAUACUGCAGGCGUCUUCGAGGGAAUCAUCGAGGGCGGCUGCGGAAGACGACGAUGAUCCGGCGGAGGAUGAAGCUGUGAAAUUGGCCAUUUGAAAUUGAGAGGGUGAGAGAACGUGAAGAGACUUUGAGUGAAGACGACGAGUGAGUCUGUGAAGGAAUGAAUGAAUGGAGGGGAAUUGGAGGGGAAUGUGAACAAGGAAAGGAACCCUAGAAAAGUGUAGAGAGAGAGAGAGAGAGAGAGAGAGAGAGAGAGAGAGAGCGAGUGGUCAAAGAGAAGAAAAGAAUUAUGGAGAGAAAAGUAAAAGGAAGAAUAUGAAAAGAGCGCAGGAAAAUCAUCCGAAUCAGACGCUUUUGUUUUGAAUGGAAUCAAUCUUCCUCCCCCAACCCCACUCCUCACUCUCCCCCUUUGCUUUUCCUUUUCAAUUUCUUCUUUUAUUUUCUUUUUCUUUUUCUUU